UACGGGGGGGGCAAGCGUUGUUCGGAAUUACUGGGCGUAAAGGGCUUGUAGGUGGCCAACUAAGUCAGACGUGAAAUCCCUCGGCUUAACCGGGGAACUGCGUCUGAUACUGGAUGGCUUGAGUGUGGGAGAGGGAUGCGGAAUUCCAGGUGUAGCGGUGAAAUGCGUAGAUAUCUGGAGGAACACCGGUGGCGAAGGCGGCAUCCUGGACCAUUACUGACACUGAGAAGCGAAAGCCAAGGGGGAGCAAACGGGG
RNAcentral lists this ribosomal RNA (256 nucleotides) under uncultured bacterium. RNAcentral's name for it is "partial 16S ribosomal RNA". It matches the Rfam family "Bacterial small subunit ribosomal RNA", at positions 524 to 777 of the family's 1533-position model. The record is from RNAcentral.